RNAcentral lists this ribosomal RNA (484 nucleotides) under uncultured bacterium. Its description in RNAcentral is "bacterial SSU rRNA". It matches the Rfam family "Bacterial small subunit ribosomal RNA", at positions 30 to 507 of the family's 1533-position model. The record is from RNAcentral.
AUUGAACGCUGGCGGCAUGCCUUACACAUGCAAGUCGAACGGUAACAGGGAGCUUGCUCCGCUGACGAGUGGCGAACGGGUGAGUAAUGUAUCGGAACGUACCAUUCAGUGGGGGAUAACGUAGCGAAAGUUACGCUAAUACCGCAUAUUCUGUGAGCAGGAAAGCAGGGGAUCGCAAGACCUUGCGCUGAUUGAGCGGCCGAUAUCAGAUUAGCUAGUUGGUGAGGUAAAAGCUCACCAAGGCGACGAUCUGUAGCGGGUCUGAGAGGAUGAUCCGCCACACUGGAACUGAGACACGGUCCAGACUCCCACGGGAGGCAGCAGUGGGGAAUUUUGGACAAUGGGGGCAACCCUGAUCCAGCCAUGCCGCGUGAGUGAAGAAGGCCUUCGGGUUGUAAAGCUCUUUCAGCCGGGAAGAAAAUGCAUGGGUUAAUACCCUGUGCAGAUGACGGUACCGGAAUAAGAAGCACCGGCUAACUACGUG